Molecule: small nuclear RNA, 107 nt
Organism: Heterocephalus glaber (naked mole-rat)
Lineage: Eukaryota; Metazoa; Chordata; Mammalia; Rodentia; Bathyergidae
Source: Ensembl
GUGCUCACUUCGGCAGCACAUAUACUAAAACUGGAACAAUACAGAGAAGAUUAGCAUGGCCCCUGCGCAAGGAUGAUACGCAAAUUCAUGAAGCAUUCCAUAUUUUU